This 323-nucleotide long non-coding RNA is filed under the name Sinocyclocheilus grahami. RNAcentral's name for it is "lncRNA (ENSSGRG00000032372.1)". The record is from RNAcentral. Lineage: Eukaryota; Metazoa; Chordata; Actinopteri; Cypriniformes; Cyprinidae.
CUUAAACUUUUGAGUAUUUUUUGUGGGAGUGACUACAAUGAUAAACAAGAUUUUAGGGCUUUCAUUUCUCUUCAUCUGUGGCUAAAUGCUUUAUCAAAUUUAUAAAUAACAGCUAAUGCCACACAGAGACAUUUUUAAAGGAGUCAUAAAAUGGUUCAGUCCAUUGAGUGAAUACGGACACAAGACCCAGCUGAUACAACAAUAAUGCGACUCCGUCAGAGAGUUCAUUUCUUCUUUCUUGGGAUGUGUGUUGGCUUGUCACUGAGUGGGUAUGUAUAAAUUAUAUUUAAAAUAUGUAGCUGAUUUACUCACACUUUUGGCAU